Molecule: ribosomal RNA, 450 nt
Filed under: Anelosimus domingo
Lineage: Eukaryota; Metazoa; Arthropoda; Arachnida; Araneae; Theridiidae
Description: partial 16S ribosomal RNA
Source: RNAcentral
UUCAAUUUCUUUAUUAAUUUUUUAUAAAUAAUUUAUAUUAAAUAUAAAAAUAUAUUUUUAAAUAAAAAAGACGACAAGACCCUAUUAAAUUUAACUUAUAGUUUAGCUGGGGAAGCUUUUUAAAUAAAAUUUUUAUAUAAUUUUUAAAAAUAUAUUUAAUAAAAUUAAAAAUAAAACAAAUUACUAUAGGGAUAACAGCGUUAUAUUUUUUAAAAGUUCUUAUUUAAAAAAAUGAUUGCGACCUCGAUGUUGAAUUAUAUUUUCUAUAUUAAUGCAAUAAUUAUAAAAAAUUAUUUAAUAAAAAUUUAAUUUCACUUGAAAGAAUAAAUUUUAUAUUAUCAUAUUCAACUCCAGCAUUAUCUUUAAUUUUAAUAAUAAUAAUUACUUCUAUAUUACCUAUAUAUAUCUAUUCUACAUUUGAUAAUAAAAAUAAUAUUUAAUAUUUUGAAU